UUCUUUUCUUCUUCAUUUUGCCUUUCUUUUUUAAAAAGUUAGUGACUAUACUUUGCUUUCUUUUUUCCUUUUGCCUUUCUUUUCAAAAAGGUUAGUGAUCAAAGUAGCACUGGGGAGAGGAGAGUAUUAAAGAAUCAAUUCAAUUUAAAAACUUAAGUUGUUAGGUGAGGUUUUAAGAUAUGAUUUAUAUUAUUCUCUAACACACUCUCUCAAGUGAAUUUAAACAUUUUAGGCUUGAAACUUGCACAAACUCACAUUACCUUAUGCUUAAUUUUUUAUCAAAUAAAUGAAAAUAAUAAGAUUCAAACUAAUGACCGCUUGGUCAUCAAAGCUCUGAUAUCAUGUCAAAAAAUCAUCUUAACCCAAUAACUUAAGCUGUUAGGUAAGGUUCUAAGAUAUAAUUUAUAUUAUUCUCUAACACACCCUCUUAAGUAAAAGCCCUUUGGACUUGAAACUUACACAGAUCCACGUUACCUUGUACUUAUUUUUUUUUAUGAAAUAAACAAGAAUGGUGCUCUAAUAUCAUGUCAAAGAACCAAUUUAACCUUAAAGCUUAAGCUGUUAGGUGAAGUUCAAAUUAAUAUAUGAUUUAUAUUAUUCUUUAAUAGAGAGAACAUCUCUUAUUCGAGUUUUAUCACUUGUAUUUCUCAAUUCACAUGUAAGUGUACAAUCAAUUAAGAAUCUUGAGUUGACGAGCUCUCUCUUAUAAGUUAGAGAUUGCAUCCGAUGUGCCCAAGUGUGUGUGUGUGUGUAUAUAUAUAUAUAUAUAUGCUGGAAGUUAGGAACCGGGAAUAAUUGCAAUGAAAUGGAAUCUUGCUAAUAAGAGUUGGGUUUCUUACUAGACAGUUGUGUGAGUGUUAAAUGUUAAUUAGGAAUAUGAGAAAAAAACAACUGAGUUUAAUAAACCUUUUAGUUUAGUUCGUUCAUUCUAUAUAGAGUGUGUCCUAAGAGGCUAAGACCAACUUAUGCCGAGUCCAUUCAUUGGCAAUUGGUUCUUCACACUUGCAUACAUGCAGGGGCAGGGAAUUAACAAAUCAUGAUAAUUAUUUAUACUGUUAAAGUGAUAUUAGGCCAUAAAUUCUAGGACUUCCAAACCAAUAUAUAUAUAUGUUAGGGAUUACCAUAUUAGAUUUCAUGUUUUUUGGUAAUACAAUGUGUGCUUUUAUAAAAAUAUUUUAAAAUAAUUUUUUAAAAUUUGUUUUUUUUAGUUUUAACAACAUCCGCAUAUAAAAACUACAAAAAAAUCUAAAAAAAAAAAAUACUAUUUUAUAUAAAAACAGUUUGAAAAAUAUUUAAAAAAUCAGACUGAAAAAAAGAAGGAAAAAGAAUAGCAAAAGUGUGACCUUAGAUUAGCAUAUAAUGGGAUCCUAUGCAUGAAAUUGACAGGUGGUGGCCAAGUGCUUAGACAGGUAGGCUAGGAGAUAAUUAUACAUAAAGCUUAACUUUUAUUAUGAACUCAUAAAUCUCAAACAAUUUCCUUCUCUGCCAUGAAUCCUCAGCUUCAUUCACACAGUAAAAAAUCCAGGGAUUUCCUCAUUAUAAGACCCAACAUUAACCAUGAAAUGAAACUCCAAUGCUACAUUCCCAUGUUGCCAUCCUUCUCCUUGGGCAGUUUUUAAACAAAUUAAUUACGUAAUAUGUUAUCUAAUUGAAGACAGAAAGCUGCUUUGAUGCUCUUAAGUACAGGGAGAGCUACGAACACUAAGAUUUUGGUUGAAGAGAAGAACACAGACAAGGCAGCAGUAGAGUAAAGGAAUUGACAUCAAUAAAUCCAAGACUAAAUAAAUCAACAAAUCUCUUUAGAACACCAUUAGGACCAACUCAAAAACGAAAAGAUUAAGAAAAAGCAAGCCCUAUAAUAUGUUCUAAACAUGACAAGAACAACCACUUACAACAAACUUGACUAAUCUUGGUUGGUAUAAAUAACAAAAUUAAUCAGCGUUUCUUCAGGUUCGUGACCUUCUUCCAUCCUUUCUUGCAUGAAUUUUCCACAAUCUUGACUCCUUUCGUGAACAAAACCUUGAGCUCCUUGGCUCUCUCCUUUACCUGCUUCUCAAAAUCACCCAUGUCUAGAGAUAGAGAAAAAGGAGAGAAAGAGAAGAGAAAAUAAGUAAUACAAGAGAAGGAAUAACCUUUUAGCAGAGAAUCUAGAGGUAUAUAUAGAUGAAGAGGAAUUAAGGGCAAGCUAAGAUUAAUUUUUUUUUAAAAAAAAACGUUGUCUUCCUGUUAAUUGGGUAAAGAUAGUAGCUUCGCUGGCCUGGCAAAACCCUAAAGAAAGAAGUUGUAGCAAUUCUUGGUUGGAUCCUACCAAGAUAAGGUAAUAACGUGGGAUCCAAUACAUGGACGACACGUGGCGAGGAUCAAGUGGGUUUUACUUUGGUUAUCUCAAUAUUACACGUUGAUAGCGGGUGGGAACAAACCGGGGGGUUUGUAAUUUGUAUUUGUUAGGCAAUAGUUUUCUCCUGUGAUUAAGUUUCUAAAUUUAUUACACUAAUUAAAUAUAAAAAUAAUUUUUAAAAAAUAAAAUCGAGUAUUGCAACGGAAAGAGUAUCUCUUUAUUGGACCAUGAACAGUACUUGGAGAGUUGCAACCUGCAAGGGAUUAAGCUGACGUUCACAUCAUACUAAAGUAAUAUUUAUUGUUUAAAAUAUUUUUGUUUAAAAUUAUAUUAAAAUAAUAUUUGUUUUAUUUUUUAAAAAUUAUUUUUAACAUUAGCAUAUUAAAAUAAUUUAAAAAUAUAUAAAAAAUUAAUUUUAAAUAAUUUCUUUUAAUUUUAGAAAAUAUAUAUACAAUACCACGCUACAAACACUGCUUCGAGUUUGAAAAUGGUAAGGAGGAUAUCAAGACAGAUAAGAUCAUCAUCCAGUGAAACGUCCCUAUGAAUUCACUUUGAAAUCAUUUUUUAAGAUUUUCGCUAGAAUAUAUUCAUGAUGUGGGGGCAAUGGUCUUGCUGUUUAAAUUAUUGCAUGUCUGGUAUGAGCAGAGAAAAUGACUUGAUGAGGAUGCAUCGAGGGGGACAAAAGACAGAUGAAUGAUCACAGAAACCGAUACUUUUCGUCCAAUCAUAAUUGGGUCUCCUUCAAAUCAAAGCGAACCCAAGUGGAAGCUUCAUGAGAGGAUCACCCAUUUCUAAACCACAGGGAACGUGGACAUUUUUGGCUAUCAGGGAACGCACCUUGUGUUCCAGUGAGUACAAGUGUUAUUAUUUGUAUUGGAAUGCAAUGCUAAAGAAUGUAAGUGAUCCAUGCUGAUUUGAGAAAUUGGCCACUGAAAUCUUAUUUUUCUCCUACCAUGGCUCAAUCGAAUAAUAGUUACAAAUAAUAAUUUAUCUUUUUUUUUUAUCUAAAUCCUGAUAUUUAGAAGUUUACUAUAUACUAACAUAAGAGUUUAAACUGAAUUUUUAAAAUAUAAUUUAUAUUAUUUUUUAACAAAUUAUAUAUAACAACAAUAAAAUUUGCCAAUACUACAACCUUACGGAUCUUCUCUAUGUAUAAUAUAUAUAUUCCAAUUACAUAUAAUGGUUUUGGAUACGAGUAAGUAAUGUAGUUGAAAGGAUGCCGGCCUUGCCUGGCUAAAGUUUUUGGUGCUUAUGUUUUCAAGCUCCUCGCAUCACUAUAUAUAAGUGUAGGUGUUCUCUGCAAAUUAGUUUUCGAACUAUGCGCCGUUGCAGGUACAGAUUCAAGGUGCUAGCAACAGCUCUGUGUGUAGUGUUUUUUUUUUUAAAAAAAUCACCACGACUAAGAUCAUGGGUACAAUAUCUUAACCUGAAUAGUGAACUAUCUUUUUAUUUAUUUUUUCUUAUUUUGUUCUUAGCUAGGUUUUUAUUAGGCUUGAGUCGGAUAUACUUAAAGUCUAAACUGAAGACAGACGUAUUAGAUAAUUAACCAAAACUUUUCACCAAAUAAUUUAGGGCAAAUUCAAAAUCUUGAUCAAUUAUAGCUUUCUAGUGUGCCCAUUACCUGACUCACCACCCCUCUCUCUCAGAGAAUAAACUCAGUUGGUGAUGCUCAAAGCUUCAAUCUUUGAAUCUCUCACAUUGUAGAAAGAUUGCAACUUCCCCUCGCUUUAUCUCCCUCUUAACUCAUACAAACUCUUCAAACUCAGCAAGUUUUUCUUCUUUUAUUUCCUCCUUUCUGUAGUUCUCUUGUGUUUAAAGUUUCUAAAAACUUACACUCUAAGCAUUUCCUUUUUAUUUCUAUGUUUAUCUCUUUCUAUCAACUUUUGUGGUGAUUAUUAAUUAGAUCUGCAACUGCUUAGAGCACAACCCAACUUUUUAUUUAUUGCAUUUCUUUAAUCUAACUGCCUUUGGUUAUUAAAGUUUGACUUUUUAAGUUGAAAGUUAACAUUUUUAUUGCUUUUUUUUUUUGUAUCACCGGUAAAUAACUUUCUUUUUAUUGGAAUUAUUAGGUGUUUUCAGCUUUUUCUUUGUAACUGUCAUUUCCAUAAAUAUUUCUUUUUGAAUUUUGCUAAUUUGGAAAUUUGAGUUCUCAAUUUAGGAGGAAUCUUGGUGGGGGGGUUUUGUUCAUUUUUUUUUAUACUAGAUUGAUUGGGGUUUUUUUAUAAAAAAAAAAUAGAGAUUAAAUUGAAAAGAAAACAACUUGGAUUUAGGUGGGAAGAAAUUUGAAACUCAACUUAAAAAUAUUUAUACAAUUAGGGACCAAAGUUAACGAAAAUGACAAAAAUUGUUGCGCAUGGGAACACACCAGCAUGUGGAGGACCUGCCACAUUAUGAUGGCGCGUUCAAAAUCCUCUUGCCUUCAUAAAUGAUCUUUCUUGGUGUUUCUGGAAGUGUCUAAAGCAAGGCCAUUCAUUAUAGGCAGCGUGUGGCGGCUAUUUCCCAACGGGACAACCAAUUUUCCUUCUUUUUUUUUUUUUUUCCCUUUCUUUCCCUUGAAUUAAAAGGAUUAAUUAAAAAAAAAUUAUAGAACAUGAAAAAAGAAAAAUAAAUGUUUUUGCCACUUUUCAAAUUCACGCGGUGCCAAUAAAUAUGCUGUUACAAGAGAAGUAAUAGAGAAUCACCUUUUUAUUAUAAUUAUAAUUAAUGAAAGUUCACGUGUAGUGGAUAAAAUUUAAAUGAUAUAUUUUUUUAUUAAUGUGAGUAUUUGAGUUAAUUUAUAUGUAUCUUGAUUAAUUAUACAAGUUCUAAAAUUAAUGACAAUAUAAAUAUUUAGUGAUUCUGAAGUUUGUGAGACUUGAACUAGUAAUUUUUAUAAAGUAAAUUUAAAAUCUAACCAGUUGAGUUAUAUUAUUUAGAUUUUGAUAUGUUAAUGUUUAUGUAUGUGGUUGGAUAGAUUAUUUGGAUGGGCAUGUUGAGUAAUGUUAAGCACGAGACUAUACGUUUUUAUCAUUACUAAUUCAAAUUAAAAUUCUCAAUUCAGUGCUUAUACAUUUUUAUGCUGAAUGAAAGGGAUAUGCUGCACUGCCCUACCUAGUUCUUCUUAACAUUUUAAGCCAAAACACCUCCGGUGUUGAUGUACGUAUGAGAAGGCGAUCAACAAUCUCCUCAGCCAACAAACGGACAAAACAUGUUGCUUCAUCAGACUCAAUAAUACUACCUCUUCUAGCCAAAACACCUCUGGUGUUGAUUUUAUGAAGGAUAGCCAUCCAAAAAAAAAAGUUCAACUUUAGAUUUAGCGAGUCCUUUUCAUACACCAUUGAAGGAAAUGCUUGUACUAGGCUGACUAGGAAAUGAAAGAAGCCUACACAUAGAUUUAACAUGUAUACAUCCCAUUAUAGAUUGACUUCUAACUCAAUUUGUCCAUAACCUUGCUGGACAACGUUAAUUUGGACAACAUACCAGACAUAGAAAUUCCAAAUCCAAGACAAGUCAUCGAUCCCACACACCCAUGUUAGCAAUUGAAGAGUUUUGUCUUCCGAAAGGUAAUAUAUAUAAUCUUGGAAACUGUACAGUAAGACAAGAAUUGCCAAGCCCUAUCAUUCGAGAUGAAGCUGGUACCGCAACCAUUAUCAACUAACGCACAAAUUUCUUGGUUUGCAAUAUUCUAAAGUCUCACGUCCUUGGCACAACCACUAACAAUCCUACACCAUGUACUUCCCCUUGCAUUAACCUUUUCUAAAGAUAAAUUUAAAGCAACCUUUUGAUGAUGAAUAUUUGAGACAACAUCCUUCCAUAAUCCGGUGUUAGAGUUCCCACCCUCCUCACCAGAAGCUGAACAAUCUUCGGCAUAUAGUUAUCAUGCCCAAUCCAUUUCAUAAAACGAUGAGCCAUUCACUUAGAAUAGAUAAUUUUGCUUUUGAAAUAAACAAUUUGAUCCAGCUUCUUCAUUUAAAAUGUAUUUUUUCAGUGAAAAGUUGCCAACCUUUAUUGAGACAAUUCUUCUUCCAAUAGAUAAAUCAUUUCAGUUUGAUUUAUGGUCCUCUCUUGCUCCUUCCAAUGUUGAGUUUAAUCUCUAGCUUGCAAUUAUGAAUAAACUAUCUAUAAAAGCUUUUCACCACCGACAAGGUCUGUUACAAGUGAGUGAUUUGAGUUGUCAUUUCAAUAAUAAUAAAAGAAAAAUUAAGCCUACAAAACAUGUCUUCCUUUAUUAUGAGGUGGUAUGGAAAUUAUGGUCACCGGGUGGUGACUUAGUUAGGCCAACAAUGAAUCUUACUAAAGUCUUUUGAUGAUUUUUACUUAAAAUGGCAUAAAAUGAUUUUGGGAUCAUUUUUGGAUAUACUUACUACGAUCACCAAAUGGUAUUUUUAUAUAGACAAAUAAGGAAAAAGUAUAUAGUGAAUCAUCAUGAAUUCCUCCUCCUCAAAGUAUGCUUAAGUGGAAUGUAGAUACUUCUGCAAGUAGCAAGCUUAGAUCCUCGGGGAUUAGGGGUGUUCUAAGGGAUCACGAAGGAAAAUUUCUUUGUAACUUUUCUAUUCCAUAUGUACAGGGAAUCCAAUGGACCUAAGGUUUGGAGAAUUCAAAAGGCUCUCAUUUUAAAUAUUGAUUGUUGUUGUGCAUCCUUUAAGGGUUGUAUUGUGGAGUCUGAUUCAUAUAAUGCAAUUGCUUGGAUAAAAGGAAGCAAUGUCAUGAGACUGUUGUGAUUAUAAUGUGAUUUUAAUAACAUCUCCAAUACUUGUUUUGGGAUUUCUCACAUGAGUUUUACAUAUAUUUACAGAGAAAGUAACCAUGUAGCGGAUCAUUUGGCCAAGGCUUUCUCACAUGAGUUUUACAUAUAUUUAUAGAGAAAGUAACCAUGUAGCAGAUCAUUUGGCCAAAUAAGAAGUUUAUAGAGAAGCUGAUUUAGUUGUAUGGUUAUAAUCCUCUUUCAUAUAUUUAUAUUUUGCUUGAUUUAUAUGUUUUUAUUAAGUAAAUAAGAAGUUAGUUAAGUUUGCUUGGUCCUUGUUUCAUUUUGUAUCUUUUCUAGCCUAUCUCUUGUUACUUUACUUCUUCUAUUUAGCCAUGCUUUUCAUGGCUAAAUUAGUUAAUUAAUAAAAUUUCUCGUCUUUCAUACGGAAAAGGGGAUGAAUUAAAGUUUUCAUUCAUAAAUAAACAAAUUUUUUUUAUAUGUUUACAAUUUUCUUAAAAAAUCUUUGGCCGGUUUCAACUUUCACAAUCAAUAAAUAAUCAACUAAGGUAUCUUUCAAUUUAAAUAUCUCAUUUUGUGAAUAUUCCAUUAGUAUAUGGAUAAUGUGAUUGAACAAAGAAAAUAAAUAUUUAUUAUUGUUGUUGUUGUUGUUGUUGUUUUAUUGUUGUUGUUACCCAUUUUUGAAUUCCUACACAAAAAUGAAAAAAAUACAAAAAUAUAUAUUCGGAAGAAAUCCAAAAAAAAUAACUGGAGCGAGAAAAGGAUGUUGGAAUACUGAAAAAAGGCCAAAAUUGAUUGAGAAGGUUCAAAAAUACAAAAGGUUGAAAUUUAAUAGUAUAUUUUUGACUGAUGGAAGCCCUGUUGACAAAGAAAAUUCAAGUUGAGAAAGAAAAGUCUAAAAUCAGAUGUUUAUGGACUCAAUUAAAUUUUAUCUAAAGUUUAAUUGAAUUUAUGGAGGGUUGGAUUGUAAGAAAAAUUGAUUUUUAAAUCAAUUUAGACUUUUAUUGGAAGAAAUUAAAGUUAUGGGGUUCAAUUAUAAUUUUAAAGAGUUGAUUUGGUCAAAUCAGGGGUUUAAUUGCAUAAUUAUUGAAGUUUGAUGGCCAAUUAGGGAUUUAAUUGAAACAAUCCGAAACAAAGGACCAAACCGGAAAAGGAGCUAAACUCAAGGGAUCCAAUUAAAACUUUUCCGGGGGGCUUGAUUACAAAAUUGCAAAAACAUCCAAGGAUUAAAUCAGAAAUAUCAUUUUGAAAUUGAAAACGGCGCCGUUUCAUUAAGAAUUACGCGCACUGUUCAUGGUCUUCUUCAAAAGAAAAAACGGCCAGCAAUAAAGAGACAGGGGAGGCGUUGGAGCUGCAAUCAAGGGUGGGCGCGUCUCGCGGCUGAUGUUCCUCGCCGCCGUGAUGCACGCCGGCCGUUACCAAGAAACGCCUGCGACCUCUGGCUACAAAGCCAGAGGAAGAACCGAACCAAGGGGGGCAGAAACACAGAGGGAGGGAGAGUGUAAGGAAUAGAAGAAGAGAGAAAGGAGAGAACACAGUGGGAAAUUCAGGAGAGUGAAACACAAAGGAAGGCCGCACGAGGAUAAACAGCAGAGCAAAGGAACGGCAGUAGGAGAAACCGAGCGGCGAAUCAAAGCUCACAGACAGCAGGGAGGUCAGCACCACCACCGGUUUCCUUUUUCCAGAACCAGGUAUGCUCAUUUCCUUUCUUCGUAAAAAAUUUGAUGCAUGUUCGUCUAGAAAAACAAAAAGAAACAGAAGACGAGAAAGCCAAAAGAUCGCCAUUUUUGUACUCUGUAACCAGGGGUCCUCGUUUUUUAUGUUAAAAAACGACAAUUACCUUCGCACUGUUCCAUUCACGCGUAAAAUUUUACGCGUGAAUGGCUUGGUUGGGUCACCGGCUUGGGCCAGUGACCAGGUGGCAUGGGUCCAGUCCAGCCACAUGGGCCGGGUUGGACCCAGCCCGAAAAUAAAAAAAAUUUCAAAAAAAUUCUUUUCAAAAAAUCUAUGAUUUUCCGCAAAUUUUUUACUUCAUUUUGAUCAAUAUUGGUUUUUAUUUUUAUACUGUAAAGAUACAAAUCCGGUAUUAAAAUACCCGGUUUUCGUCAAAACAUUUAAAUAAUAAUAAAACAAAAUGUUUUGUUUUCAUGCAUACGGUCAAGUAUCUCAAAAAAUAAAAAUCAUAUCAUAUUUUCAUACAACAAAAAUUCAAAAAAUAUGUAUUAGAAAGCAUUUUGGUUUUAAUAAUCAGUUUAUUAAAGUCACGAGAAUUAGGCCAAUAUUUCAAAAUUUUCAAAAAACUUAUUUUGUUUUCUUUUAAUAUCUAGGGUUAUGAUCUUAUACAUAAGAUGUAUUCCGGAUGUUAAAUUCUUUUGUUGAGGUUAGAACGAUUAGGUUUUACCCGAUAAGAUAAGAACCUCCUUACUGAGGAGUACUUUUCUUAAACCAUAAACAGACCAACAACAAAAAAACAUGACAAGACCUUAAAUUUUAUCAGACAAUAAAACAAUGCACCCUACCUUAGAUAAGGCUUAUUUGGGGUGCUAAUACCUUCUCUUUAUGCAACCAAUCCCCGUACCCGAUCUCUGAGACCAGUUAGGGUUCCUAGUGACCAAAAUACUAGGUGGCGACUCCAUUCAUGCUUUCCACAGAUAAAAGACAAGAAUUCAUUGUCUCCUCAUAUUUUCCACAUAGAUACAUUAGAUAAUAUAUGAGAGUGGAUGUUUUUCACCACGAAGUCGCACACGUGUGACAAUUUUUAUUUUUUUAUUUUCUUUAUUUUCUUUAUUCAAUCACAUUAUCCAUAUGCUAUUGUAAUAUUUUCUAAAUGAAAGAUUUAAAUUCAAAGAUACCUUAGUUGAUUAUUAUUGAUUGUGAAAAUUAAAAUCAGCCAAAGAGUUUCGAUUAUGAAAGGAAAAACAUAAACAAAAAUAUCAUAAUUUAUUAUUAUUAUUAUUAUUUGGGACUUAAAACUUUCAGUUAUGAUGAUAAAUCUAAGGUUAUAUAAAUAUAUUUGGUUGAAGGAACAAAGUGAGAUAUGAAAUAAAUCAAUUUAUGGGACAUUUAUUAAGUGGAUUUAUGUUUUAUAAAAAAAAGGACAGGAUACAAGUCUCCUUUAUUUUCACUGAUUUUAUUGUUUGAAUUUUUUUAUACUAAGAUAGUAAUCAAAACGUUGCUUUUAACCAAGGGAGAGUAACACUUGCAACAGAGCAAGAGUUCCCAACUAACUAAGGAGUUAUACAGAGUUUCACGACAUACACUCUUGACACACGACUAGAGUGUAAAGAAAAUGCUCAAGGAGAAUUGUUUUAUGAAGAGUUGGAGAGCCUGCAGGCUUCUAGGAGUUCAGUGCUAACUGUUAGCAACUGGAUGUUCCAGUUAGGAUGACAAUAAUUUGAAAAUCAUCAGGUGUUCUAGCAAGCUACUAUGACAAAAGAAAAAACAAAGCGUUUGUCUUGAAAUAAAGGUAGUAUAUAUACAAAUGAUUUUUAGUUGAAAAUACUCCUCUUGUUAUCUUUUAAACUAGUGACAAUAAUAUAUCUUGGGUUUGGCUACCCUAGAGGUGUUUUUUUUUAAAGCUCUUCAAAAGUUUUUCCCUUCAUAACCAAAUAACAUGUUUCUUUAAGUUUUCCGCACUUAUAUUUAUUUCGUUACUAAUUAGGUUUGCAAAGUAUUAGCAAGUUGCUUCUUAACAUAUAGGGAAUAAGAACAGGACCAUCAAGUGGUAUCAGAGCAAGUUCACUCAUUCUAGAGUGAGAUCUAUUUUCCUUGUUAAACAUUUCAACAUUGACUUCAGCAUUGCAAUUCAACAGUGAGAACUAUACCUAUUGGAAUGUGAGGAUGGAAGCUUUCCUCAAAUCACUAGACGAGAAAAUUUGACACUCAGUUGAGCAUGGAUGGAUUAAGCCUAAAACUCUUUUCAGCAAUUAGACCAGAUGUUGUUAUCUAUUUUUGGGUUCCCACAUAAAAAAUAAAAAAAUACAAAAAAAUAUAUCAAAAAAUAUUAGGAAGAAAUCCAAUAAAUAAUAUGAGUGAGAAAAGGAUGUUGGAAUGCCGAAAAAAGGCCAAAAUUGGUUGAGGAGGUUCAAAAAUGCAAAAGGUUGAAAUUUGACAGUAUGUCGUUGAUUGAUGAAAGCCCUGUUGACAAAGAAAAUUCAAUUUUGAAAAACAAAUAUUCAAAAUCAGAUGUUUAUAGAUUCAAUUACAUUUUAUUUAAGGUUUAAUUGAAUUUAUGGAGGGUUUGAUUGUAAAAAAAAUUGAUUUUAAGUCAAUUUAGGCUUUUAUUGAAAGAAAUUAAAGUUUGGGGGUCUAGUUGUAAUUUUUAAGAGUUGAUUUGGUCAAAUCAGGGGCUUAAUUGUAUAAUUAUUGAAGUUUGAUGGCCAAUUAGGGACUUAAUUGAAACAAUCCGAAACCAAGCACCAAACCGGAAAAGACGCUAAAAUCAAGGGAUGCAAUUACAAUGUUUCCGGGGGCUUGAUUACAAAAUUAUAAAAACAUCCAAGGACCAAAUCAGAAAUAUCCAUUUGAAAUUUAAAAAAGGCGCCGAAACUAUUCAUUGUCUUCUUCGCUGGCAAUGAAGAUAGGAGCAGACAGUGGAGCUGCAAUCAAGGGAGGCAUGUCUCGCGGCUGAUAUUCCUCACCACCAUAAUGCACGCCGGCCGUUACCAUGUUCCUGCCAUAACGCAUGCAUCCUCUGGCUAUAAAAGCCAGAGGAGGGACCGAGCAGAAGGAGGAGAAAAAGGAAAGAGGGAGGAAACACAAGGAGAAAGACGAGACAGAGGGGGGGAAGGAAGAAAACAGAGGGAGAGAGGGAGAGGAGAGCAGAACAGAGGGGAGACACAAGACAGAGAAGGAGGAAGAGAAGAGAGGAUGGGAAAUCUUUUGAAAAGAACGGAAAAAAAAAAACAGAGAGAAAGGGGGGAGAAAAUUACAGAGGAAGAAGGCAGGAAAAAGGAGAACCACCGUUGUUCUUCCUCUCCACCGCUGCCACCGUCGCCCCCCACAGCAACCUCCACCGUACCGUCUGAAAGCCACCAGCAGCUCCACCCUCACCAGAGACCAAAAGGAGAAGAACCAAACAGAAACAGACGAGGAAGGAAAAAAACAGAGGCUGGUGCCUCUGCACGGGGAAGAAGAAGAAAAACUGCAUCAAACACUGCCCGCCACCGUCAUAACCACCGUGAGCCAUCGUCGGCUUCCUCUCCACCGCCACCAGCAUCAGUGUGAGCGUACACCAAUACCAUCGUCUUAGACAUCGUUUCCGCCAGGUUUGUUCUCCUCGUCUCUGUGCAUGCAAUUCCAUUUUGCAUUUCACUGUUCAAGUGAAUUAUAAUUCACUUGAACAGUGAAAUGCAAAUGUUACUGUUCAAGUAUAAUUCACUUGAACAGUAACUACUUUCCAUUUGCAUAUGUUACUGAGCAUGCACUCGUGAGGAAGCUCACGUGUGACUUUUGUUUUUCCAGCCGGGUCUCGCGCAGCCACAUACACUAAGUUGGACCAGUAAAAAAAAAAAAAUUCAAAUUUUUUUUUAAAAUUUAUGAUUUUUUCAUAUAUUUUUAUUGUAUUUUGAUUAAUAUUGGUUUGUAUUUUUAUACUGUAAAGAUACAAAUCCAGUAUUAAAAUACCUGGUUUUCGUUAAAAAAAUAAUAAAAUAAUAAAAAAUAAAAUGUUUUGUUUUCAUCCAUACGGCCAAGUGUCUCAAAAAUAAAAAAAAUUUAUGUUAUAUUUUCAUACAACAAAGAAAAUUUCAAAAAUAUGUAUUAGCAUACAUUUUGGCUUUAAUAACCAGUUUAUUAAAGUCACGAGAACUAGGUCAAUAUUUCAAAAAUUCUAAAAAAAAAUUAUUUUAUUUUCUUUCAAUAUCCGGGGUUACGACCUUAUACGUAAGACGUACUCCGGAUAUUAAAUUCUUUUGUUGACGUUAGAACGGUUAGGUUUUACCCAAUAAGAUAAGGAUCUCCUUACCGAUGAGAACUUUUCUUAAACCACAUACGGACCAACAACUAGAAAACACGACUGUCGCACGUCAAAAAAUCAGCGCGGCAUCGGCUGGCGAUUUUUUCGUUGUUCGUUUUGCUUGGUUCGUUGGAGUCGCCACCUAGUAAUUAAUUGCGGGCUACUAGGAAACCGGAUGUACUGGUCUUGUCUGAGAUUCAUGGGUAAGGGACUGGUUGUGGUUAGGGAAGGUAUUAGCACCCCUAACGCACCCUACCUGAGGUAAGCUGCUUCGUGGACUUGAUAUGUUUUUAAAAAUAAAAAUUUUAGCCCAAUUCCAAGGCUUCGAUAAAUCAGUUAUUAGUUCCCAAAAUAUAUGUAGAUACAUGUUCUACAUUUUUAUGGAAAAUACAACAUGAUUUUUAUCUGUCCUUUAGAUAUUUGUGCAUAUAAAUUAAAAUAUUAAAUUCAUUCCUUUUUUUUUUAUUAUUUCAAUAACAUACAUAAAAAAAAUACACACACACAACACAUCUCUUUUUCUAUUAUUCUUUUCUUUUCUUUUCUUUUACAUCCACAGUUACAUAAAAUAUAAAAUACAAACUAUGAAAAGAAAAACUCAAAAUUACACAAAUAUAACAUUAAACAAUUCUAAAAUUACAAAAAAUGACCCAAAACAAUCCGGGGCAGUGCUGGUAACCUCUGAGUCGCUGGAAUAGUGCUGUGAAGACCUCUGGAAUAGCAAGGACAGUGGCGGCGCGUGGAUCUCACGCACCACCGCCGCUGGCGGCGCGUGGACCCACGCGCNNNN
RNAcentral lists this long non-coding RNA (13765 nucleotides) under Populus trichocarpa (black cottonwood). RNAcentral's name for it is "long non-coding RNA (PTRI_LNC003143)". The record is from RNAcentral. Lineage: Eukaryota; Viridiplantae; Streptophyta; Magnoliopsida; Malpighiales; Salicaceae.